CAAACUUUCCAUGUGCCAAGAAUAGCUCAAUGACAGGUGCCCUUUCAGACGAACCAAUUUUUUCCGUCCGCGCAUUGUCUUAUUCUAACUUAACAAGAACUCCAUUCUCUCUCUCUCUCUUUGCCCAAUUGAUUAUGGGGUGUUUCUUCAUUUUCAAACUUGGCAACACCAAAAACAGUUCCUAAAACACCUUCUUGGCUGCAAACGCAGGCAAUUGUAUGAGAAAAUACCUUUGCGGGUGCGUGCUAACGCUCUUUCUGUCAGCUCAAAACUCUUCACGUCUCUCUCGUCUUUACAACCCAGACUACUGAAAUUUUUUCUUCCGCUUAUAUCUCUUCACGUUCGCUUUUCUCUCUAAAUAUGCUUCUAUAGAGCUCUUGACUUAUCUCAAUAUUGAGUGUUAAAACUGAGAAGAAAAUGAAGAAGGAACAGAAGUCACACAUUGAGGGUUGAGCUCUUCAACAUGAAGAGAGAAGCUAAAAUUGACUUAAGAUCGUAUUUAAUUGAUUUGAUGAAUAUGUAUAUAUGUACGUUAAUCUUAUUUUAUAAUAAUAAGAAUAAUAUGUGCUGGAGCUUGAAAUUGGAAAGCGUGACUUUCCAUGGUCCUCUAUCUGUCUUUGAAGAGGAAGAGCUACUUGAAGCUUCCCUACCUUAUGUUUUUGCUUCGUCUUUGUGAUCUGGAUUUGGUUGACAUGAAAACUUUUGUAACUUUGACUCGAUAUUUACUAUCCCUAAAAUGAGAAAAAUGGUCUGCUUUCAGUUCUGGGAAAAUAUGCUCGACUUUGUAGCCAUGAAUGAUGUUUCCCAAGAAGGCAAUCUUCUUGUACAGGUUGGGAAUCCCUUCUCUGGGCACGCCGAUUUUUGUCGACUCUUAUUUUGUUUCCUUCUUAGGGCAGGAGCAAAUUAGGUCUGUUUUUGUUUCCAGCACCAUUUGUUGUUUGGUUCUGGGGGAUAACAACAAACAACUUCUAUUUCCUGGAGCAAAUUAGGUAAGUUUACCCGCUAAUAUCUUUUCAUGUUAGCUUUGUUUCCACAUGUAUUAUGCAGCAAUAUUCUUCUGAUUUUAUGUGAUUUAUUUGGUGGAUUUGUUCUAAGUUUAGAUGCAAUUAAUCUUUUUCCCCUUGAUGGGGUAGUUUCAAUA
This is a long non-coding RNA of Mangifera indica (mango), 1141 nucleotides long. RefSeq lists it as uncharacterized. The transcript is spliced from 2 exons. NCBI's taxonomy places the organism in Eukaryota, Viridiplantae, Streptophyta, Magnoliopsida, Sapindales, Anacardiaceae. The record is from RefSeq and is a predicted model, not a curated record.